RNAcentral lists this ribosomal RNA (351 nucleotides) under uncultured bacterium. RNAcentral describes it as "bacterial SSU rRNA". It matches the Rfam family "Bacterial small subunit ribosomal RNA", at positions 917 to 1269 of the family's 1533-position model. The record is from RNAcentral.
GGGCCCGCACAAGCGGUGGAGCAUGUGGUUUAAUUCGAUGAUACGCGAGGAACCUUACCAGGGCUUAAAUGUAGUAUGACCGGUCUGGAAACAGACCUUCUCUUCGGAGCAGAUUACAAGGUGCUGCAUGGUUGUCGUCAGCUCGUGCCGUGAGGUGUUAGGUUAAGUCCUGCAACGAGCGCAACCCCUAUUCUUAGUUGCCAGCGGUUCGGCCGGGGACUCUAAGAAGACUGCCAGCGCAAGCUGAGAGGAAGGUGGGGAUGACGUCAAAUCAUCACGGCCCUUACGUCCUGGGCUACACACGUGCUACAAUGGUAUAGACAGAGGGCAGCCACCUGGCGACAGGGAGCG